Molecule: long non-coding RNA, 482 nt
Filed under: Vigna radiata
Lineage: Eukaryota; Viridiplantae; Streptophyta; Magnoliopsida; Fabales; Fabaceae
Description: long non-coding RNA (VRAD_LNC015263)
Source: RNAcentral
UCUAAUUAUUCUCAAUAUUAAUUGCAGGACAACAUUGGAAUUGUGAUUAGGACUUCAAGAGGGCAGAAACAUCAUUUAAUUUCGUUUUGUAAUGUAAAUUACUUUAAUUUUGGGGUCAAGAUUUUAGGAAAAGCCCAUAGUAAGGACAUUUUCGUAAUUUUGGGGUUUUAAAACCCCAAAUCAGAUUUUAUUUAUUUCCCUCCCUAAUUUUCACUUUUCCUCUUCUUAGAUGUAAAGCUUGGGACGUUUUCCACCCUGCCCCCCUCCCCUCCCCCUCUCGUGGGGGUUUUAGGUUUGCUUUCAAUUCACUUUUUAUGUAUUGAAUCCUCUUUUUAAUUUCAAUUACAUUUCCGUUUUGUGUUCUUCUUUUAUUCUUGCUUUUCAAUUUCACUACUGCCUAAUUUCGUUUCCCAGGUUUAUUUUCGUUUUGUUAGUUUGGGUGCAAAUUUAUUUACAUUUUUAUGAGAUUAUGUUAUCUUCUU